Molecule: ribosomal RNA, 486 nt
Filed under: Pseudomonas sp. CL3.78
Lineage: Bacteria; Pseudomonadati; Pseudomonadota; Gammaproteobacteria; Pseudomonadales; Pseudomonadaceae
Description: bacterial SSU rRNA
Rfam family: Bacterial small subunit ribosomal RNA
Source: RNAcentral
CCCUGGCUCAGAUUGAACGCUGGCGGCAGGCCUAACACAUGCAAGUCGAGCGGAUGACAGGAGCUUGCUCCUGAAUUCAGCGGCGGACGGGUGAGUAAUGCCUAGGAAUCUGCCUGGUAGUGGGGGACAACGUUUCGAAAGGAACGCUAAUACCGCAUACGUCCUACGGGAGAAAGCAGGGGACCUUCGGGCCUUGCGCUAUCAGAUGAGCCUAGGUCGGAUUAGCUAGUUGGUGAGGUAAUGGCUCACCAAGGCGACGAUCCGUAACUGGUCUGAGAGGAUGAUCAGUCACACUGGAACUGAGACACGGUCCAGACUCCUACGGGAGGCAGCAGUGGGGAAUAUUGGACAAUGGGCGAAAGCCUGAUCCAGCCAUGCCGCGUGUGUGAAGAAGGUCUUCGGAUUGUAAAGCACUUUAAGUUGGGAGGAAGGGCAUUAACAUUAAUACGUUAGUGUUUUGACGUUACCGACAGAAUAAGCACCGGC